GCACGGGUGGCUCAGUCGGUUGAGCAUCUGACUUCAACUCAGGCCAUGAUCUCACUGCUUGUGAGUUUGAGCCCCCUGCA
RNAcentral lists this transfer RNA (80 nucleotides) under Felis catus (domestic cat). It matches the Rfam family "tRNA". Rfam says of the family: Transfer RNA (tRNA) molecules are approximately 80 nucleotides in length. Their secondary structure includes four short double-helical elements and three loops (D, anti-codon, and T loops). Lineage: Eukaryota; Metazoa; Chordata; Mammalia; Carnivora; Felidae. The record is from Rfam by way of RNAcentral.